This 484-nucleotide ribosomal RNA is filed under the name uncultured bacterium. RNAcentral's name for it is "partial 16S ribosomal RNA". It matches the Rfam family "Bacterial small subunit ribosomal RNA", at positions 30 to 507 of the family's 1533-position model. The record is from RNAcentral.
AUUGAACGCUGGCGGCAGGCCUAACACAUGCAAGUCGAGCGGAUGAAGGGAGCUUGCUCCUGGAUCCAGCGGCGGACGGGUGAGUAAUGCCUAGGAAUCUGCCUGGUAGUGGGGGAUAACGUCCGGAAACGGGCGCUAAUACCGCAUACGUCCUGAGGGAGACAGUGGGGGAUCUUCGGACCUCACGCUCUCAGAUGAGCCUAGGUCGGAUUAGCUAGUUGGUGGGGUAAAGGCCUACCAAGGCGACGAUCCGUACCUGGUCUGAGAGGAUGAUCAGUCACACUGGAACUGAGACACGGUCCAGACUCCUACGGGAGGCAGCAGUGGGGAAUAUUGGACAAUGGGCGAAAGCCUGAUCCAGCCAUGCCGCGUGUGUGAAGAAGGUCUUCGGAUUGUAAAGCACUUUAAGUUGGGAGGAAGGGCAGUAAGUUAAUACCUUGCUGUUUUGACGUUACCAACAGAAUAAGCACCGGCUAACUUCGUG